RNAcentral lists this small nucleolar RNA (130 nucleotides) under Prolemur simus (greater bamboo lemur). RNAcentral's name for it is "Small nucleolar RNA SNORA42/SNORA80 family (ENSPSMG00000020680.1)". It matches the Rfam family "Small nucleolar RNA SNORA42/SNORA80 family". Rfam says of the family: The members of this family belong to the H/ACA class of snoRNAs that guide the sites of modification of uridines to pseudouridines. Human ACA42 (SNORA42) was cloned from HeLa cells by immunoprecipitation with anti-GAR1 antibody. The record is from Rfam by way of RNAcentral. Lineage: Eukaryota; Metazoa; Chordata; Mammalia; Primates; Lemuridae.
GCAUGGUAAUGGAUUUAUGGCAUGCCCUCCUCUGUGAGCCUGUCAUAGUGUACCCGUGCCAGAGUAAACCCCAGCCCCAAGCCGUUGCCCACCCUCCUUACCUGUGGGCACUGAAGGGGGUUGCACAAUG